Molecule: RNA transcript, 2527 nt
Organism: Glossina fuscipes
Lineage: Eukaryota; Metazoa; Arthropoda; Insecta; Diptera; Glossinidae
Exons: 4
Source: RefSeq, a predicted model, not a curated record
AAUUCUGACCGCGGAUAAAAUAAGAUCGUCAAAUAAGAAGUAAAAAAGGUUUUGUUUAAUAUUUAAAAUUUUUUCAAAAAUUGAAUGAAUAGGCUUUAUUAAAGUCUUAGGAAUGGAAGACGUGACGAAUUCUCUCAACAAGUGAAAGAUAUGUGUCAUAAAAUCAUAAAAUUAAAAAACGUAUGAUUGGAAAGUGAGGUGGCUGGUUUGCUGGGCGAGUAUUCGCGCGUAUAAAUGUCCAUUUUAACUGUUACUAAUGUAUCAAUGGUCAGUACAUCGUUUCGAAUAGCCCAAGUUACAAGACGGUCUUCGGAACAAAGCGUUAUAUGAGGGCACCGAUGUGGAAAGGGAAUUAGAAUUAAAAUCCGCGUAACUUUUACUCUUAUACCCGAUUACGAUUAUUGUUCCUCUACAAAAUACAAAGAGUUUCUCUGGGCUGGAGAAGUAUUUGAAAGCUCAAGAUAUAAAGAGCAAACGAUUGUUUUCACUAACAUUUCUUGUUGAUCAUUUUUAAAAUCGUUAUUAAAUUGGUUUUAUAAUGUCUUGCUACGCUUAUCUAUUAUAUGAAUAUCUUUUUUUAUAAACGAAGUGGCCGGCGUAGGAAAACCAUUACAUUUCCUUCAACCGUAUAGCUUGCAACCAAAAAGUAUGGUGUGCAACCAAAAAAGUAUAGCUUGCAACCAAAAGUAUAGUGUGCACCCAAAAAAAGUAUAGCUUGCAACCAAAAGUACAGUGUGCAACCAAAAAAAAAUGUUUGAUGAGAGAAAGAAAAACACACAGAAGAGAGAUAGACAAGGAAAGUGAACGAGAGAGAAUUAAAAAUUCUAAACAAAACAUACAAAGCACAAAACACAAAACAGCAACGCAUACACAAACAAUUAAAUAAAGCCAAUUGCACAAAAAUCCAAUUGCAGAGACGCCAUUUUGAAAAACGUCACGCACUGAAUAAACAAAAGAGGAAUUAUAAAUUAAAAAAACUUUUAAGCGAAAGAAGAGACCAAUAUUUUGUUGCAAACCGAGUUGUUCAAAGGUGUAAUGUUAGCUAAGCAGCAGAAGAAGCAACAAAAAUUCUUAGGCAAAGCUGAAAAUAGAAACGCAGUCAAAAAGAGAAUAUUUGUACUUGUACAUCCCUCGAUAAUGUUUAGAAACUUCAAUUGCGAAUUGAUGGAAACAGUUAAGGCAAUGCAAAUCAUAAUAAAUAUAUCAAUAGCGCCAUAUAGAGUUUUAGCAGGCAACAGAAUACGCCCAUUUGUUUGUUAAUCUAGGUACCUGUCUUCAUAUGCUGUGAGUAGCCGGUGACUCCAGCCUAUGCCUUUGCAAAAUGUGCAAUGUUCCCUACUGUGGAUUGUUUAAAAUUAGCAACAACUAUUAGCGAGCUAUUCCCGUUUUUUUUGACUUUUAUAUGGAGUUUGUAAGUUUGACGAGAUGGAUUCGGUUGCCUGAAUUGCAAGAUGAAGGUUUGACUUGGAGGAAAUGUUAAAUUCACCGUCCAUUGCAGAAGAGACUUCAACUAGCACUGAAAACGUGACAUUUAAUUUGAAAGGUCUUAGUGAUCUUAGGUUUAAGAAUGGCAAAUGAGCUUGGCGAUUUCUUUAUGAUCAUUGAUUCCUCUAUGGAACGAAGCCUUAUUUUUAAGAGGCAAAUUGCUAAUGCGACUGCUACGUAUGAGUCUGAAUUGAAGGAGCUUCUAAAAACUGCCAGGAGGUCUAAAACGUGAUUUGGGUAUCGACGAAUGGAACGAAUUAAAGACCAACGACAUGUUAACAACGAAACAAGUGAAGAAACCAAGGUUUUUAACCGAUACGUAAUGUAUGGAACAAUUUCAUGGUGUAGGAAAUCUUAACUCGAUUGGACAAAUGAUUUUGGAAAAGGAAGAAAAUUUAGAUCCUCAAGUUAUAAAAUCAAGUAUGGCCGAUGGCUGCGUGAAAAAACGGAAGCACAAUAAUAGCAUUGAAGUAAGUCUGCCACUCCGUCCAAUUGAAGUGGACGCAGCAAAUAAACAUAGUAUUCAUAACGGAAAUAGGAAAUUAACUUUAAAUAAUUAUGAGAGCGAAGACCAUACUAAAUUAUCAGCUAAUUUGCAUCCAUCCUAUAAUUUUAUUGUUGGGUCAGACAACGUUGCCGGCAAAUCACCGAUAUACCCAUCAUUAUCGACACAGUAUUUUAUGAUCGCGCGCCAACUACGAUCCAAAAAGAGUAGGUCGGGGUUGCCGUACAUUACAAGCAGACAACGAGACAUUGCGAGGUUAGUCAGUUUCCCGUUUUGGAUGAAACCUAAUGCAUGGCGCACCUUUGACGAACCCUUCUAUUUAUAAAAAUAUUAUUUGUUGACAUCAUUAGCACGGUCUUCUUCCAAUUCAAAUUUUUGAUGCAGCGACUAUCUUUUUCGCCAAUAGCAAUUUUUAAUUUGCCAUGCUCUACUUGGCCAAAGAAUUUUUCAUAAACUAUGAAAGAAACAAAAACACCUUCUUUUGGUAGGUCGGCAAAGGCGAUGAGUAGUAAACCGUUCAAAAAAAGAUUUAAUUUU